GAUGAACGCUGGCGGCGUGCCUAAUACAUGCAAGUCGAGCGAACAGACGAGGAGCUUGCUCCUCUUACGUUAGCGACGGGCGGGUGAGUAACACGUGGAUAACCUACCUAUAAGACUGGGAUCACUUCGGGUAACCGGCGCUACUACCGGAUAAUAUAUUGAACCGCCUGGUUCAAUAGUGAAAGACGGUUUUGCUGUCACUUAUAGAUGGAUCCGCGCCGCAUUAGCUAGUUGGUAAGGUAACGGCUUACCAAGGCAACGAUGCGUAGCCGACCUGAGAGGAUGAUCGGCAACACUGGAACUGAGACACGGUCCAGACUCCUACGGGAGGCAGCAGUAGGGAAUCUUCCGCAAUGGGCGAAAGCGUGACGGAGCAACGCCGCGUGAGUGAUGAAGGUCUUCGGAUCGUAAAACUCUGUUAUUAGGGAAGAACAAAUGUGUAAGUAAAUAUGCACGUAUUGACGGUACCUAAUCAGAAAGCCACGGCUAACUACGUG
Molecule: ribosomal RNA, 497 nt
Filed under: uncultured bacterium
Lineage: Bacteria
Description: partial 16S ribosomal RNA
Rfam family: Bacterial small subunit ribosomal RNA
Source: RNAcentral